Non-coding RNA from Phoenix dactylifera (date palm), 1915 nucleotides. NCBI's taxonomy places the organism in Eukaryota, Viridiplantae, Streptophyta, Magnoliopsida, Arecales, Arecaceae. The record is from RefSeq and is a predicted model, not a curated record.
AGGAAGGUAAGGAAAAAAGAGGAAAGAAGGAAGAAAGUAAAGAAAGAAGAAAAAGAAAGAAAGAAAGAAAAGGAAAGAAAAGGAAAGAAGGGGAGAGGGGCAGAGAGUGCCCAUGGGACUUGAUUGAGACUGCCAUCAAGACGAGGCGGGAUAGUGGGGCAUCCCAUUCUGUGGAGAAACUGGGACACCCCCAUCCCACGUGACUUAAAACCAUGUUGUUUCCUGCAUCCAUUUCCCCUCGUAGCAAUUAUGACUUGUAUACAACAUUUUUCUAUUAUUUUUCUAACCAGAAACACAUGUUCACCAUCAACAUAAGUUGCAUAUCAAAAGAAUUCCAUAAAAAAAAAUUGAACUUUAAAGCUGAUAUAGAUAUCACUUCAUGAAUUGCAUACGAAGAGAAAUUGAUAAAAAUUAGACGAAAAGUGCAACUAGACACCUGAACAAUAUUCUUCUGAAUCACUAGAAGAAACAAUGGGAAUGGGUAGAAUAAAAAGAACUGUUAGGUGAAGGCAUGCUGUGUGGCUAUAAAGAAAGGAUGCACGUCAUACAAGAUUACAGUCAAAGUACUAUGUAAAAUUAAAAAUAUGAACUAUUGUUGGUGAAUAAGAAAGCUAUUUGGUUAAUACUGAUUGUACCAAUUAAAAAUUUAACCAGGAUAUGCUUAAAGAUAAUUGCCACAGAGCAUGUUUGAGUGCACCAUAUUGUUGACUUGUCUUUUGAUAUUGAAAUACUAAGAGGAUUAUACAAUAUAUCCCCUUUAAUUAAAAGCAUACCCUUUAUGACCGGUAGAACAAUGUUUAUGAAGAGAAGCAAAGACAGCAUAUCCUGCAGGAGUGUCUCCAUAAGCUUCUACUGAUAUUCAUUAGAGAAUAGUGGACAAAUAUGCUUGUAUGACCGUAGACAAACAUCAGCAUCAGUGUUAAAAAGUAGAGAACUGCAUUGUUGCCUUCCAAAGAUACUAAUAUUUGUGAUACUUUCAGGUUACUAGAUGCAUUAGACACAAUCAAGUAAUUAACACUCACCAACCAAUUGUCUCAAUAGAUUUUCAUAUGGGUACGCAUAGACCAACAAACAAAUAUCCAAUAUAAUAUAGGAACCACAAUGGCAAACCUCGUUAUGACAUAAACAAGUCAUGUUCCACAACAAUCAUCUACAUGAUAGAUUGCCAAUGACAAGCAACCACCAUAUUUAUGAACCACUCUAACAGCAUUACAUAUGCCUGAAUUGAUGUCACCUUACUUCAUGCUCAAUUCAUCAUGCUGCAGAUUGUGAAUAAAAAGCAGAACUCUUGGAGAGAUUAAUUAGAGGAGACAAUGUGACAGUUGAGAAGAUAAUUGGUCAUUGGUGACAAGGUGCCUGAGGGUGUGAAUUAAAGUGACAGCAGUAGUAUCCUGAUACUGGUCAGGAAUUCAAAAAUCAUUCAGAUGCAUGCAUAAUAAAUUUCUAAAAGAAAAAAAAAAUGAAUUGGGAACAUCUUGGAACCAACCUCCCAUGACCUGGUCAGAAAUUCAAACAUCAUUCAGAUGCAUGCAUAAUAAAAUUCUAAAAGAAAAAAAAAAUGAAUUGGGAACAUCUUGGAACCAACCUCCCAUGACUUUUAAUUCCCUAUUGGCCUGAUAUGCUUGAUCUAAGCCCAUGCAGCCAACUCAGUUCUAUUCACUGACCUGUCUAGGCCCAUGAAAAAACCCACUCAGUUACAAAAUGGUUCAGACUCCAAGAUAGUUGGGCUCACAAAAUGAAGACAAAUUCUAGUGGUUAACAUCAAGGUUUGCCGAACCGGUAUUGGGACCUAUACCAGUAGGCAACCAGAAUGAUACGGUAUGGGGAUGAACUGUAUUUUUUUUAAAAAAAAUUGUAUUGAAGUCCGCAAAUAGUUUGCAGACUUCAUUGAAGCAAGUCGGCAAACCAUUUGCUG